UUGCUGCCGACACGGCCGCACUGGGCCCAGCCCACUGCGAGAGAAUGCAAUAAAGUUUCUUAAACGCUCACGAGGCCUCCUGGCCUGGCUCCUUGCCGGCGGGGACCCCACAGUUUGGUGCUGGAACCCAGGAUGCACAGGAGCCCGUAGGGACCCCCACCCCCGGCUGCGGGCUCCUCCCGACCACACUGGCCACUCCAGUUUGCGGUUAAAGUGAGCCCCUGCACCCCAGGCUCCACCAGUCCGUUUGUAUUGGAGUGUCAGCCUCGGACCAGCUCGCCUCAAGUUCACAAAAAUUCCCAAGGAACUCUAGCUACACGGCAAUCCCAGCCUCCCUACAUACAUGGGCCGACUCCAGUCUAUCCUUCCACUACAAGGUACAUGGAGGACUCCCAUUCCAACUCAUGCACCUCGAUGAAAUUUAUAACUUCAAAAUCACGGAAAUGACUAAAGGAACACUCACAGGCAGGGCUGUACAGUUACUCCAGUCAUACUUAACAUAACUGAGCACUCCUCCAAUAAAGGCCCCAUCUUAAGACCAGUAACAACCAACACCGUCAUAGUAUCUCAGGCCCCUCUCUGCAUCAACAGGACACACCCUGCAGGAAAGGUUUUAGGAUAUCUUGAUCAACGCCUAUGCCACUUUACUCUUGAAAUUCAGCCCUCUUUCAAGCGUUGGGCAAGUUAUAUAGUUACCCAAACAGCCUACUUCUCAAAGCCUGUUCAAUUCUCAGCCUGGCCUACCAUCUCAGCAACCUUCCCAACAACUGACACUUCCCAGUUCUGUUCAGGUCGACCUCUUUCCUGCAUUAACUACUUCCCCUGGCAGGAUUGCAAAUCACAAUUACGUUCUAACUGCCGCCAAAUCCCCUCCCUUGUCCUCACACACUCCAAAUUUUGGGUAGACACUGACAGAAAAUAUAUUUUUUUUGAGAAUACCACCACAGGGGCUACACAGGUCAAUCCUGAAGGCCCUUUUCAGCUCCUUACGGGGGCAACCUUAGCUGGAACUCUUUCUGUUUGGGAAAAUGAAAACAACAAGCUCACUCACCUCUUCACCAUCGAAAAAACCUUCUGCUUAAAAAAUCAAGGAAUCUUGUUACUGUGUGGUACCAAUACCUACCUCUGUCUCCCAGCCAACUGGACUGGGACCUGUACCCUAGUCUAUCACCCCUGAGAUAGACAUUGCCCCUGAUAACCAGCCCUUUAAGGUUCUCACCGCUUACUCGGGGCCAGGAAGGACAAACUAGAUGAUAGGGCCACAAAAACUGACAGCUUUCAGAACCCUGGGGCACCUGGCCACAGAAUCUAAAUUGGACCUCUUGGCUUCUGCCUUCAGUUGGAUCCCUCUUAAUGUUCUUUCUGGCACUGAUCUUUGGCUCAUGCAUCCUAAGAGCCAUUUCUUCCUCCCUCCAAAACUACAUCCAGGCUAAGAUCCAUAGGGGAAAUAAUGCUUCUCCAGCCCUACACUAGAUAUCAUCCCCUCCCUCAGUCCCUAACUAGGUAGGGACAGCUCUACGCCCCACCUGAGCAGGAAGAAGCUACAGAAGAAUGAGAUCAACCUCCCUCGUCAGCCCCAGUUCACAGAAGGAAAAUAAAAGGUUAGAAUGCUAGGCAUAUUCUGAAUCAUUCCCCUGCACUCAGUUCUUUUCCAUUAUACCCCACUUGGAUCUCCUGCUCUCUGCGGUUUUCCUGUUAUUCUUAUUUCAGGUGUCACAGAGAAAGCUGACCGGCUGAGAAAAUCGGCUUUAGACCUGACUUCCUGCACCUGCAUCUGGUUCCUGGGGACCUUCACAAGACACAGAUAUCCCACCCUCCCUACUCUUGCUUGCUGACACGGAUAUACUGGUCUCAGCCCACUGUGAGAGAAUGUAAUAAAAUUUCUUAAACUCUAA
Myotis brandtii (Brandt's bat) is the source of this 1895-nucleotide long non-coding RNA. RefSeq lists it as uncharacterized. NCBI's taxonomy places the organism in Eukaryota, Metazoa, Chordata, Mammalia, Chiroptera, Vespertilionidae. The record is from RefSeq and is a predicted model, not a curated record. The transcript has 3 exons.